GGAUCAUUUCUUGAAGCCCUGCUUCUUUUUGACUAAAACAUGAAAGCACGCAGCAGGAGGGGACCGUCUCAGUGACCACGUCGACUAGAAUCCACCUGACACCUGAGCUAGGCCAUUUGCUGCUGUUCCCACCUUCUCCCUCUGGGAGUCUUGAGUGCAACACCCACUUGUCCAGGCUGCACAGAAAGAAGAGAAUGGAGAGCCCCGGCCAGGGAGGACCACGUUUCUGCCUGCACUGGGCGGGAUACCACAAUCCUUAAGGGGAGACAUCGUGGACCCUGAACUGGACCAGCUCCCACCUUGCAGAGAGACUCCAGGUCCCCCAAGAUUCGGCACAUGCCUGCAGAGGUGGGGCUGCUGUCAGCUUCCUUGGAGAGCAUCUGUCGGGCUUCGUCCAGCCGGCCCUGCAGCACCAAGAUGGUCACCUGGAGGGACACCCAAGAAUAUGAGCAUCCAUGGGAGGCCCAGAAGCCAUCCCCUCAGCCUAGCUUUGGCUUCUUAGCUUUGGGAAAGCAUGAUGAUUUCUUCCCUCCAGAGGUGCUGUCACCAUCACUUGUGAACAAGUGCGCAGCAAAAUCAUCUGAGUCACCUGACAAGCACAUCUGCAGGUGAACAAACA
Long non-coding RNA from Molossus molossus (Pallas's mastiff bat), 619 nucleotides. RefSeq lists it as uncharacterized. The record is from RefSeq and is a predicted model, not a curated record. The transcript has 4 exons. NCBI's taxonomy places the organism in Eukaryota, Metazoa, Chordata, Mammalia, Chiroptera, Molossidae.